UACGUAGGGUGCGAGCGUUAAUCGGAAUUACUGGGCGUAAAGCGUACGCAGGCGGCUAUGCAAGACAGAUGUGAAAUCCCCGGGCUCAACCUGGGAACUGCAUUUGUGACUGCAUGGCUAGAGUCCGCAAGAGGGGGGUGGAAUUCCACGUGUAGCAGUGAAAUGCGUAGAGAUGUGGAGGAACACCGAUGGCGAAGGCAGCCCCCUGGGGUGAGACUGACGCUCAUGUACGAAAGCGUGGGGAGCAAACAGG
This 253-nucleotide ribosomal RNA is filed under the name uncultured bacterium. RNAcentral's name for it is "partial 16S ribosomal RNA". It matches the Rfam family "Bacterial small subunit ribosomal RNA", at positions 524 to 776 of the family's 1533-position model. The record is from RNAcentral.